ACAGAGAAACACUUGCUAUAGUUCUGUAGCUCUCCUUCUUGCAUUUGGGAUUACAUUUACAUUUAUGAAUUUAAAUUUAAUUUUGAAACUGGUACGUGUCCAAUAUUGAUUGAUGUAAACCAACUUCAACUUGUGUGAAGGUGUGUUAGUUGAUCAAGUCAAAUGUUCACUUAUGUAGAGAGUGUGGGAAGAAGAGAAGCCAUGAAAGACUGAAAUGACUUACCCUCACAGCAAUUUUCAGUGACACAUCCUGAAUAGUGACUAAUGGAGGGUAGAGACGACCUUCCUGUAAAUUCUCCUCUGAAACUUGCUGAGCUAUAACCUAGAAAUGAAGUAGACAUGUUUAACUUGACAUGCAGAUGAAGCUGCACUUAUUAGACAGUGAUCUAGUCUUAAGCAAAAAAAUGUUUCUGCUUUGGCAAAUCACAGAGAUAUUCCUUAAUCGACCUAGGCAGUGUUUUUUAGAACCAGCUUUGUCAUUAGGAGUAGCUACACAAGAACUAGAAAUUUAGGUAGUUACGCCCUUUUCUCACUCAGACAAUAAGACUUAUUCAAGUUUUGAGUAAGUCCAUGACACACAUAAACUACUAAAUAGUUCAUAGUGAGAUAAACAUUCCAGCUAACAAUUGUAAUUGGAUCAAAGACUUCUAGAAUUCAAAGCACCUAUUAUUCUGACAGUUGUCAAGUCAACCUGUACAGAGAACAGCUGAAACCCUUAAGUGUAAAAUGCUCUGAAUGAAAUUACUGGUGACUGAGUAGGUUUGCUGUGCAUCCAGCUCACAGAUUUAGCCUGUAUGAGAUCAUAAAAGUAAGUAUGGUCAACCACGGAACAAAGCAAAAUAAGAUUAUCCAGAGCCUUUUAAAGGCUUGCCGGUCACUGUAGUUGGAUUUUGAAAUAGAAGGUCUAAUGCUAAAUUGUUGGACAGAAAAAGAUGCUGUUAGAACAGUCUGUCCACUCCACUUGAAGGCUGAAGUGGGUCUGUUGUCUCAAGCAUAUCAAGUAACUAAAGAAAUUAUUUUGCUCUUUGCUUGAUUUUUCACCGGACUGACCAGGGGAGGAACAGCGCAGGGAUUUUGAUGCAUGUCUGAGAGCGGCAUCUCCUUUAUGGCUUGAAUAUUCCUGCUUCAUCUUCCUAGCAAUACUGGAAAUGUUUUGUUGCCAUCACCAGCAAUGAACAGAUCAGGAAAGCACAGCAAGCUGGAGAAGUUGGUUUUUACUGUUUACUCAUUGGCCACAUGAAAAACCUUCUGUUACCACAGAGUGUGAGGACAUUCUCUGCAGUGAGGAGACACUGCUUGCACUGUCUGCUUAUGGGCUUACUUCAUGAACUUCCUCUAUUCCUGCAACAGAGACCUUUCAAGAAGCAAAGGGUCGUGGGGCUGCCUUUGGGACUAAUGAUAUUUCUGUUAUCAUCAGGAAAAAAUUUGCUUGUCAUUUGGGGAACAGAAAAUUGAAAUAGAAAAUAGCCUUUUGCGGUGAUCCAGAUGUGGAUAUAAGAAAAACUCUGGUCCGGAUAGCAUCUGAUGACAACAUGUAUGACACAACAAGAUGUUCUGAAAACACUAGGAAAAUCUAGAAACACUGAGGAAUACAACUGAUAACAAAGAGAAAGCAAGAAGUGCACUUUUGAGGGAAUUUACUAUGAAGAUACUUGAAACAGAGCAAACUGCUUCCAACAGUUCUUGUUGCAUAUGGGAAAUAUACAUUACUUGCAAACAACUAGAAUAGCCUCAGAACAGAUGCCUGGAUAUCAUCAAUGCAUCCCUUCUGGCAGAAGUAUAAACAGAAGCUUUCUGAAAUCCCAAGACAAAAGGAAAGUAUGAACAUUGUAUUUUACACUGAAAAAUUGGCAACGCUUUCGGCUGACCUACACUGGACAUAUUAUUACAGCCUGUGCUACUGGCUACAGUUACACUUUAGCAUCAUGAAUUUAACUUUCUUAAAAAUUGCCUUUGAAAGAUGAACUGCUGGAAUUCUUACUGGAUACGUUCACCAUUGAAGAUGCAUUGAAACUAGACGCAGGCCACACUCUUUUGGAAGGACUGCGGCGGAUCAUGAAGGAAAGAGGUUUAUACUAAUUCCAGAUAAUCUUAUUUUGGUGUUUGACACAAAAACUUUCUGUUAAUUGCAAUUACUGGUAAAUUCUAUGACUAAGUAUUCAAAGUUAUUAAUACAUAUGCAUUCCAAAGACUUUAGAAAAUUUAAUUGUCUUAAUUGGUAUGCUCAGGAUACUUUGCCUAAAAAUGUAUACAUCUUGGUUACUUCAGUAAGUUUAAGUCCCCAGUUCAUGAUUUAUUGACCAGAGAUCCAUCUGCCUUUUAAGAUUAGUUAAUAUUCCUUUUCAUUAGCCAGUAAUCUGACUUCUAGUCUUUGUUGUCUGAUGAGUAUUGAAAUGUUUACAUCCAUGGUUAGAAUUACUUGGUCUACUUGAGUACUCAUUAUUUGAGUGUGUUAAAUGGAGAACAGCAUAGCACCUACUGAGAGUAGUCAUAUUGGAGAAGUUUAAGAAUGCCAGUUAAUACAACUUUACUCUUUUUUAAGGUUACUCAUUCACAAAACUAUAGAGUUGGAUUCUACAGACUCCUAAGGCCACCUUGCAUCCCAAAAAAUAGCAUCUUAAACCACAGAAGCAAUCAAUUGCUUGCAUAGACGAAUCAUCCUGUCACCUCAUGCCAGCAAGAAACUUUACUUCUGAGAAAGGAAAGGGCAUUUAAUAGCUUUUGCAGAAAAAAUAAGUGAA
Pipra filicauda (Wire-tailed manakin) is the source of this 2741-nucleotide long non-coding RNA. RefSeq lists it as uncharacterized. The record is from RefSeq and is a predicted model, not a curated record. The transcript is spliced from 3 exons. NCBI's taxonomy places the organism in Eukaryota, Metazoa, Chordata, Aves, Passeriformes, Pipridae.